Molecule: long non-coding RNA, 732 nt
Organism: Brassica oleracea var. oleracea
Lineage: Eukaryota; Viridiplantae; Streptophyta; Magnoliopsida; Brassicales; Brassicaceae
Exons: 2
Source: RefSeq, a predicted model, not a curated record
UAGACUCCCUAUGAUGUUAUUUAUUGCAAUUAAUCAUACGUUUGGUUGUCGAUAUCGUUUUGGUUGAUGAGAUUCAGAUUUGUGUUUAAAUUUUGAAACCAGCAUUAAAGAAUGCGGCAGGAUCUAAAUCGAGUGGGAGCUCUUUGGACGAUGAUGACGUCUGUGAUUGGGGGUUUGUGGUGAGGAAGAAGAGAAGAGUGGAUGAGGUAUAUCCGAGUGGAGGUGAAGGGUCGUCGUGUACGGAGCUGGCGAGAGUGAUUUUGAAGUUGGGAGAGGUGUACGAGAGGAUCGAAGGUGCGAAGCAGAGGAUGAUGGUUGAGUUGGAGAAACAUAGGAUGGAAGUUGCUAAGGAGAUUGAGUUGCAACGAAUGAACAUGUUGAUGGAUAUGCAGAUGGAGCUUGAAAGAUCCAAGCUUGCCAAACGUAGAACUGCUGCUUCAGAAGUUGUAGGAUUAAAAUUGUGGAGGAGCUAUACUGUGGGAGAGCAAGGGAGCAAUGGUUGGAUAUGAGAGCUCAUUUGGGAUUGGAGAAACUAUUAUUAUUCUUACUCACUAGGUUUCAUGUUAGAGCAAUGCUUAUUUUUUUCUUCUUCUUAUUUUGUUUCCUUCUCUUCUUUAGCUACAUUAGUAGCAAAGCAAAUUGGUGAAAGAAACUCUGGUAGUAUCCCACAGACAUAUCAACGUGUACUUGACAUUGUCAAGUGUUAAUAUAUUAUGGUUUUUGUAUCAAUAC